This 168-nucleotide small nuclear RNA is filed under the name Zea mays. RNAcentral describes it as "U2 spliceosomal RNA". It matches the Rfam family "U2 spliceosomal RNA". Rfam says of the family: U2 is a small nuclear RNA (snRNA) component of the spliceosome (involved in pre-mRNA splicing). Complementary binding between U2 snRNA (in an area lying towards the 5' end but 3' to hairpin I) and the branchpoint sequence (BPS) of the intron results the bulging out of an unpaired adenosine, on the BPS, which initiates a nucleophilic attack at the intronic 5' splice site, thus starting the first of two transesterification reactions that mediate splicing. The record is from Rfam by way of RNAcentral. Lineage: Eukaryota; Viridiplantae; Streptophyta; Magnoliopsida; Poales; Poaceae.
AUACUUUUCUCAACCUUUUGGUUAAGAUAAAGUGAAAUAUUUAUUAUUAUCAGUUUAAUAUCUGAUAUAGGUGAACCAUAUGUUCACUUUAAUAUUAAUAUUAAAUUUAUUUUUUACGGGUAUCAAAUAUGAUUAUGUGCUAUCGCACGCACGUGGGUUGUACUAGUA